GGCUGGUCCAAGUGCAGUGAUGUUUACAACUAAUCGAUCAAACCAGUCACUGAUUUAUUUGUUCCUUCUGCACUCCCACUACUUCACUUAAUUAGCCUCAA
RNAcentral lists this Y RNA (101 nucleotides) under Propithecus coquereli (Coquerel's sifaka). Its description in RNAcentral is "Y RNA (ENSPCOG00000008298.1)". It matches the Rfam family "Y RNA". From Rfam's summary of the family: Y RNAs are components of the Ro ribonucleoprotein particle (Ro RNP), in association with Ro60 and La proteins. The Y RNAs and Ro60 and La proteins are well conserved, but the function of the Ro RNP is not known. The record is from Rfam by way of RNAcentral. Lineage: Eukaryota; Metazoa; Chordata; Mammalia; Primates; Indriidae.